CCUACGGGGGGCUGCAGUGGGGAAUAUUGGACAAUGGGGGGAACCCUGAUCCAGCCAUGCCGCGUGUGUGAAGAAGGCCCUCGGGUUGUAAAGCACUUUCAGUGAGGAAGAACGCCUGGUGGUUAAUACCCAUCAGGAAAGACAUCACUCACAGAAGAAGCACCGGCUAACUCCGUGCCAGCAGCCGCGGUAAUACGGAGGGUGCGAGCGUUAAUCGGAAUUACUGGGCGUAAAGCGCGCGUAGGUGGCUUGAUAAGCCGGUUGUGAAAGUCCCGGGCUCAACCUGGGAACGGCAUCCGGAACUGUCAAGCUAGAGUGCAGGAGAGGAAGGUAGAAUUCCCGGUGUAGCGGUGAAAUGCGUAGAGAUCGGGAGGAAUACCAGUGGCGAAGGCGGCCUUCUGGACUGACACUGACACUGAGGUGCGAAAGCGUGGGUAGCAAACAGGAUUAGAUACCCUGGUAGUC
This 465-nucleotide ribosomal RNA is filed under the name Vreelandella stevensii. Its description in RNAcentral is "partial 16S ribosomal RNA". It matches the Rfam family "Bacterial small subunit ribosomal RNA", at positions 338 to 795 of the family's 1533-position model. Lineage: Bacteria; Pseudomonadati; Pseudomonadota; Gammaproteobacteria; Oceanospirillales; Halomonadaceae. The record is from RNAcentral.